RNAcentral lists this ribosomal RNA (499 nucleotides) under uncultured bacterium. RNAcentral's name for it is "partial 16S ribosomal RNA". It matches the Rfam family "Bacterial small subunit ribosomal RNA", at positions 29 to 507 of the family's 1533-position model. The record is from RNAcentral.
ACGAACGCUGGCGGCGUGCUUCACACCUGCCAGUCGAACGGGUCUGCCCUGUUUUUUGCGGGGUGGGUCAGUGGCGAACGGGUGAGUAACACGUGAGUAACCUGCCCCUCACUUCUGGAUAACCGCUUGAAAGGGUGGCUAAUACGGGGUGUUCUGACUGUGCCGCAUGGUGUGGCUGGGAAAGAUUCACUUUUGUGGUGUUUUGGUGGGGGAUGGGCUCGCGGCCUAUCAGCUUGUUGGUGGGGUGAUGGCCUGCCAAGGCUUUGACGGGUAGCCGGCCUGGGAGGGUGGGCGGUCACACUGGGACUGAGAUACGGCCCAGACUCCUGCGGGAGGCAGCAGUGGGGGGUAUUGCACAAUGGGCGGAAGCCUGAUGCAGCGACGUCGCGUGAGGGAUGGAGGCCUUCGGGUUGUGAACCUCUUUCGCCGGUGAAGAAGGUCCUGCUCUUUGUGGUGGGGUUGACGGUAGCCGGGUUAUGAAGCGCCGGCUAACUACGUG